UUGAGGUAGGUGGAGGGGAGCGUCCCGAGCAUUUUGCCCUUGUGUUUGCCGAAGUCUAUGACUCUGUCUCGUGCGGGGAUUGGUGUGGGGGUGAAGGAGAAUGAGGAGGAGGAGGAGGGUUUUGGGGGUUUGGGUUUGAAGGAGCAGGAGAGGUGGAGGUGUGGUGUGUUGGUGGUGGAGGAUGAGGAGGAGGAGGAGGAGAAGGGGUUCGAAGGUGAAGUGUGGAAGUGGAAGAGAGUGCUGUGGGUAGUCAUUCUUGUUUUUGGAGUGUAGAAGAUAAUGUAGGGUGUUUGAAGUUUGAACCUUGAAAGAGUAUUCGGCUUAUCUCUACUUUAACAUGCAUAAAUAGAUCUGUCAGGUUAGAAAAAAUAAUAUAGAAAUAUAAUAGUCAAACAUAUAAAUUGAUAUAAACGGUUAAAAUUGUAUCGUGUAAAUACACGUGAUGUAUACAAGAAUUUCCACUGUUACAAAGCCACCACCCUAUUUGGUGUCAUGGUGAAGCUUUUUUUUGAAUUACCUAAAAAAUCAAAAUAAUAGAAAAUUCUAUAAAAAAAGAAGUUUUUAUGGACAUAACCAUAAAACACUAUUAGAAUUUUAUAGAGAAAAAAAAUGACGUGGUUUAUUCCUAUUUUUUAUAGAACAGUUAUCUAAAAAAUAAGAUAAUCAAAUUUAAAAAAAAAAAACUUUUUAAUUAAAUAACUCACACACCCUACAUAUGUCAAUGAAAUUUAAACUCAUAACCUCAAAGUUGUUAGUUAACACCUUAACCAACUAGACCACGGCUCAAAUAGGAUAAUCAAAUUCAUUCCACUUUAAGUGGAGCAGUUUAAGUUAAACUUCUCCUAUUUGUAUACCAGAUGAACCCAAAUUACAUGAAGUAAUGUAUCCUAACAAGAACUGGUUAAUAAAGAGUCUCAAAAGAGUAGUCGAUUUGAUACUUUAUUUGUAACAAAACGGUGGCACACCAUAAAGAUAACUCUACUAAAGGGAAACAUCAUAACAAGUAGCGCAACUUGUUGCACGAAAUCAUGUCUGGUUGCGCUUUGUUUUAUACUGUCACUAUAAAGUUGGUUGCAUUUGAGAACAUACAACCCUCUCUCUCUAAAUCAAGCAAGACACACAAAGUUUUCCUACCAUACUUGGAUGGGGACUUUUUUUUAUUGUGAGAAUAAAAAAGGAUAAACCCAAUUACAAAACCGUAAAAAGCAAGGCAAGAAAGUAAACAACAAAGAGUUUGGUUCUCUAACUCGAUCAAGCUAAAAAGAGUGAAAGAAAACCUACCAACUCGCUAAUCUAAGUACCGAAUGCCCUACAUCCGAAAUAAAGAAUUGCAACAAUACUACAAAUACUACCACACACACCACCUAUGCUUGGUAACAUUGUCGUCGCCGUUUCUGCUAGUAACUAUGAGGUAGUGAGGAGUACUAAACCGAAGCAUUGAUGCCCCAAAUACUUGAUGCCAAAUGAGUCCCAAUGAACAAAUCAUAUGGAAACCUUCAACACAUAGGAAAAGCUCCCUCAAAACCACACCAUACAAUCCACCAUCCAAACCUAAGCCAUGAAGGAGCUAAGGCUGUCGAGACUCACGAGAGAGGACCAAAAACCAGAACUAAAACAAAGAACCGAUACUAAAGAAAAUGGGGGGUGAUGAACUCACUCGUGAGCAUCUAUAAUCAAAUAGGUAAGUGCAAAAUUGCACUUUAAGCAUGCAGCCACACAAGCUCUCAUGAAGGUUCGCAAUGGUAGUUGACAUGUAGUUUUGGUGUUAGGUGACCAAUAAUAUGGAAAAAGAUGUGAUUGAUUGACAUCGGUGUAAGGAACAUAGUCUUCCCAUUCUCGACAUAGCCAAUAUAAUCCACCAAGGGAUGAAAACACACCACAUGGGUGAAGCAGCCCAUAAACAUGGAACCCGGUAUAAAUACUAACAAUGAAUAAGAAAUCAGUUAACAUGGUUACUUCAGUUGGGCUCAAAACCCAAACUCAAGCCAAUACGCAGGCACAUGCCUUGAGUAACUGAGGUCGCAUGUCAUGGGCAUAACAAGCCUAAAAACCCUGGCCUGUAAUGGAGGAAUCUAUCCCCAUGGGACCUUGCUACAGUAACUGUACGUCAUCCUCCAAGGCCUAUCAAACCAUUCCUUCCCCCAAAUAAUAGACUGGCCAAAGAGAUAGCCAAUCAACCAGAACCUUUCUCUCUCUAAACAUGUUUAUGGAGUAAGAGCAAUAAAGUCUCAAAAUAUACGAAGUACCCUAACCAAAACUUAAUUGUAUGAAAUAAGCUCUACGAGUUAUAUACUCUUGAAUGAAUAUAAUCACACAUCUUAUUACCAUUGGAUGGAAUGAGGUGUUUAAAUUAGGAUGCGGCUGUUACCACCUUAUCAUUUAUUUGUCUCAGCCAACAUAUGUUUGAAUUGUUAAAAGACUAUAUUACUCUAAUAGAAAAUAACAGAUAAAGACAAUUGUCAAUUAAAUACAAUCAACAUUUACACAUUAAAAAAGAAAAAAUAAAUUCUAACAAUUUUCCAUCAGAAUUAUUUCUUCUGCCCAAUAAACCCAAAACCCAGAUCUCAAUGUUAUUUCUUUACUGAAAACGGCAAGUGGAAUGUUAAUUUUUUUUAUCACGUUCCUAUCCCUUGUUUAUUUAAAAUCAUUUUAAAUUAACAUAUGGUUUAAGAGUGAUAGUUUUUCUCUUAUAAGGGUACAUUUGUAAACUUGUCACUUCUCUAUCAUAACCAUCGCUGUAUAUAGGUUCUCUUCUCAAAUAUCCUCAUCGUCUUUCCCGCUCUGCUCUGAAACCCUAAACAGUUUGUUUUCUUGGCGAUUUGAAUCUCGUUGGGUGUUCUCUGAAUCGAUUCGGUUCUCUGGUAGUUUGGCCCUUGGCGAUUGCACUCGGAAUCCUGUAUUCACUAGUGGUGGUCCUCCAUCCGCUAAUCGUUCAUCUGAUUCCGGCGGUGCUGCUCUGCAUCUCAGGCCUCUUUACCAAUCUGGUUCAGGUACUACCUCUUCUUCUUCUUGGAAUUACGAUUUCUUGUUUUUUCUUAGUCUAAUUGUUCAAUUGUUUCAGGCGAUUUGCUUCGUUUGUAUUUGGCCGAUCUCGGAGAAUGCAUACACAAGGUUAAACGGCGUCGUUAAAGAAUUGGAUUGGCGGGUUCUGAUGGGCCUCGUUGAUUGGUGGGCUGGCGUUAGGGUAUAUAUCUCAAUUCUCAACCCUUUUUGUUAGUUCGUUUUCUUUUCUAUUACAUAUACUGAUAAAAUGGGUAGGAAUUCUUGUGCAUUGGUCACAAUGAGAUUAGAAGGUAACUGAAGUCCGGUUAAUCAAAACUUACUACUACAAUUGCAUUGAUUGAUGGUUACAUGAGAAGCAUGAUCCACAAUUAGAGCCGCGUCAGCUACUUGAUCUGGACAAGUUAAUUUCUGCUAGUUUGUCUACUGGCUGUGUUGAUAGGCAUGAUUUGAGGAAUUUCAUUAUACCUAUUAUAUUUUUUCUAUUGGCUGAGUUGAUAAAUUGGGAUGAAGCACAACCCAUCCCUAGUAUUUUGUAAUUUUGUUACUUAAAGUAGUAGGUGUAAUUUGAAAUUAGUUGCUUAUAACUGGGUUUGGAAGUUCUCGUUUAUGUUGCUAGAUAUGAAAUAUUAUCUUUUGAUUUACUUAACUCUAUUUGUUGCAGAUCCUAGAGUGCAUAGAGCAGGAAACCAGUAACUUAAAGGGUAAGGCAAAUUUAAUUUUUGUUGGAUUUGUAUGUGUUUGUGUAUAAGACUAAGUAUACAUUAUUAUUCUCAGAGGUGGGCAGAAUAUGUUAUUCAUCUGCUUGUGUUUCUUAUUCAAAGGGGAAGAAUGUGAACUUGUCAUAUCCAAUGUUAGAAAUGAUGCCGAUCCUCUUCUGGAACAGGUUCUUGCUCAGGUACUCAGUUUACAUAUCAUGUCUUUAAUUUGCUAGGCAUGCAUUGUAGUACUUUAUCAGAUGUGUGAAUACAAAUACAUUGUUAGUUUGUCUAUUUGAACGCAUAUGUAUGAUGUAUACACGGUUAAAUCAUUCCUUGCUCAGGUACUCACUAUAUGAAUAAUGGCUUGUGGGCUACCAGAAAAAGCACAAUACUCAAAAAGCAUGCCCAUACUCAAUGUUUUAUUGAUUGAUUGGGCACAUGAUCUGUUUAAGUUAUAUACUUAUCUUGGAAAGCUACUGGAUAUAGGACAAAGCAAAGGUGGUGUGAGAAUGCUUUUGGUGCCUCAGAGAGAUAAAUUUUACGAAAUGGAAGAUCAGGUUUAUAGAUCUUGUCAGGACAAUAAGAGACUAAGAUAGGAGAAUGUAAUAAUACCCAAUCUAAUUUGCCAUACAAGUGAACCUGAUAUAGGUUUCAGAUACAUAUUCUCUGUGAAAAUUCAUGUAAAACUCAUUGAACAAUUCUGGACCCUUGAUGAUAUUGUACUUACCCAAGAUUUUCAAGACUAUUAAUGAUAUUAGCUCACAGACAUUGUAUUUGGAGCCCUUUAGAUAGAUUUUUGUUUCCUUUGACAGAGUCUUUCUACCACAGAGAAUUCUCUCUGGACCAAAAGGGUUUUAAAAGGUGGUGAGCUUAGUCUGGUGCUUACAUAUUGUCUGAACAUUGCUGCUACUGCAUUUAUUACUAUCUAGGUCUUUGCACCACUUAAAUAUUGCUGAUUUAGAACUAAAUUUACAUAUGCAGUGGUCUGGUUUGCUUGGCAGUUCAUUAGCUGUAAUAAAGACAUCAGCAAGAUACAGUCUGGUAUGUUCCAACUGAGAUGUCUUGUGAGCAUGUGGAGAUGAAGCUUUUUAAGUCAAGUACUCUUCAGCUCAUUUAUUAGUACUUUAUAUACCAUAGUCACUUGUUAAUGUCAUUAUUUUUAUGUUCUUGGGUGCUUUAGAUUAUGUUUUAAUUCUGCCUCUUGAGUUUGGGGAACCCUAGCUUUGUGACCUGACUCUAGACUGUAGAAGUAAUCAUUCCUGUCUAUCUGAAAAGCAAAAGUGAAAUUAGAAGAAGAGAAAAUAAAAGAAAGAAGAAUGAGACAAAGUUCACAGAAAGCCAAUUUGAAGAAGUUUAGAUCUAUUGUUACACAGACUUACCUUCUUAAAGGUUUUAAUUAGAAAAUAAAUGUAUGAAUGAUAUAUUCCAAUGAUAUCAAACAUCUUAUUUGAUAUUUACCUUUCUUCUUUUAAAAAGAGUGCCUGCUCUAAGUAGAUCUUUGGUUUAUUGAUCAUGUGCUUUUUCAUUCAAGUAUUCCUUACUUGUCGGGGAAUGUUAUUCCUUAUAUGUGCAGGUCAUAGGAUGGUCAAUGUGGAUUUCUGAAUAUUUUGUGUUUAUGUGAGGGCAUAACUUUCAUUCAUUCAUCAAGUCAAAUUAACUCAGAGAAUAAUCUUUGAAUGCUGUGGUAACGUUUGCAGUCAGCUCUGAAGGACUUCCCUCUGCCCUUUUGGCUAUCUGUUGUCCUCGAAAGAACUGGGUUUACUCAGGGAGAUCUUCGAGCUGCUCAGAGGCUUCCUGUCCCUAGCAAGGUUUUGAGUUCUGAUACUAAGGUACAGCUGUGUCUAUUUACUUCUGUUUUGACCAAGUAAUAAUAGUUGAUUCCUUGUAAUGUCUUUCCAUUUCGGGCUGAUUAUUUCAACUCUCCAUCACAAUUACCGCAUAUAGUGUUCUAAAAUCCUGCUUCAGAACCAGUACUAAAUGUUACAUGUGAUCUAGCUUAUCUCAAAUUCUGUUGCUUGCAGGAUUUAGCCUAUGCAGUAAGACGUGCGUACUCUGCUGUUCCAGCCAUUUAUGUUAUAACAGUGGCCAUUCGUAAAACGUCACCUCCACCCACACUUGAAAGUGUAAUUAAAGGAGGACCUUCUGUGGUAAGCCUAACAUACUUGACAUUUUGUGAAGGUUGUAUUAGUAUAUGAAAUUGUGUAUACUUAACCCUUUUCUGUUGUAACUUGUGAGUGCAUGUUUUAUGUCAGUAUAUCUCUCUUUUUGAAGUCAUUCUUUGCUUUUACUUUUUAUCUUUUUAUUUAUUUUUUUAUGGGAAUUAUGGCCUCUUUCUGGCUAGAUAUUUCUAUAACCACCGAUAAAACUGGGAAUGAGAUUUUCUUUUUCUUUUUUCAUCAUCAAAUGUAACAGUGUCUUGUAGUUGCAGUUCACAUUUCACAAUUCAUGCUUAGGGAGUUUUCCUUUGGGUACUAUAAAAUUUUGAAUAUCAUCUCUGGAUGUAAAUGUCCAGAGAAUCCUAAGCUCUUCUCCUUCAUUGGUAGCACUAAACUCCAUUCUUCUGCCGGUUUUUUUUUUUUGACAUGUUCUCUUGUAGUAGAAACAUGCUGGGAUAAUGUGGUAUUUAAUCCACCUUUUAAUCGUUUGCCUCAUUAAAUGGCAUGUCUCAUUACCAGCCCCUGGGUUUCUUUUCACCAGUUUGGAUUCAAAUGCAAACACAUCCAAGCAAUGUCUUUUUUUUUGUAGCUGAGCAUCCAUGUCCUUUAUUAAAUGAUACCUCCAUGUUGAAUUUAUUUUGAGUGUCAUAAGAAUAUUGUUGGUUAGUUCAUCAUACUGCAGGGCCAAUUUAGUUUGUGCUUAUCGUAUAUAUUGGAAAACCUGCUUAGUUGGUUAGUUGUUACUGUCUUGCAGGUGCAUGUGUACAUCAAGAGGCAUGCGACUAAAAAAUGGCUUCAAACUGAUGAUGCUGUGGAAAAGUUGUGCAGAGAAAUACUUGCAGCCAAGGUGAUUUCAAUACUGUGUUCCAUGAUGUUGUUUUUCUUGCAUUUUACUAUCAUAUAGGACUACAUCUAUUUUUAUUAUAUAUAUAUAUAUAUAUAUAUAUAUAUAUAUAUAUAUAUAUAUAUAUAUUGCAUAGAAUCUUAUUACUGCCCUCAAUAGACUACUAGUCUGGUUAAUGAUUUGUGUACUAGUUUCCUGAUUUUGACUGUUUGCUUCUGGUAUGCCAGGAUGCAUCAUUGGACGAACAUAUAACAGAGCACAGAUUUGGUGAUAAAGGAUUGCAAGCUAUUGGUCGGCCACCAAAGUGUUUCUUGGUGGGAGACUUGUGCUGAUUAAUUACCGACUUGCCACUCAAUUCUUCUCUAUUAGCAUGUGAUGAGUGUUGCCUAUAUAUGGGUUGUAGGGGUGUCUUGAAUGUCCUGCUAAUUAACUGUUGUUUGGUGCAGGUUGUUAUAUCUUCAAUUUUGUUGUGGGCUCUAAAGCUCAACUUUGUCUGCCGUUCUACACUGCUUGUAUCGAGUGCUGCCUUCUUUACUGGCCGGAUGCUUGCUCUGUUUGGACGUGGAGUGCUUUUGAUGUUGCGGUGUUUGAUGGGAGCAGUUAUAGCAAACAUUACUUGGUCAGAUCACCUGAAGCCCAUCUGUGAAGUGUUGAUUGUGGAAUUUUUUGAAACCCUUGAUAUUCUCCCUUAUGAUGUAGAUUGGUGGUAAAAUCGGAUCUGGAAAAAGCUUAUGGUUUCUUGAGUUGGGAUUGUAUUCAAGUGACCAGACGAACAAUACAAAAAGUUCUCUAGUGGACUUCUGUAUAUAAUUAUGAUAGUCUGAUAUCACCUCAAGCCCAUCUGUGGCGUGUUUUUUUUUUUUUUUGGGGAUCAAAAGUGACUUCAUUGAAAGACGAAGUGAAAUGGUUACAGGAGUAGAGUGUAAAACACUCAGCAACCUACUGAACUUCAAUACAGGAGUAGAGUGUUUCACUUCUUUCAGGUGGUGAUAGUUUGAACACUGUAUCAAUAUAUUACAUAAGCUGUUAUGCUUCCAUGGUUGCAAACAGUAAUGUACCCAAAAGAAAAAUUUUCGAGAAUUGAAACAUGAUUUUGUUUCUCUAGUUCACUUAAGUAUUUCUCUGUUCACUUCCUUUGCUAUUCGUUUAUUUGCUUGAUUUUGUAAACUAGUUUCUGAAAGUAUUAGUUGCAAUGUGAAAUUAGCUGCUCAUAAUUGUGUUUGAAAGUUUUCAAGAAAUCUUAGCUUUUGAGUUACUUAACUCUACUUGCUGCAGAUCCUAGAGUGUAUAGAGCUGGAAACCAGUCAUUUAAAGGGUAAGGCAGUUUUAAUUUUUGUUUGCUUCAUAUGUGUUUGUGUGUAAGACUAAAGUAUAUAUUAUUUUUGUGAAUGGUGGUCAGAAGAUGUUAUUUAUCUGCUUGUGUUUCUUAUUUAUAGGGGAAGUACAUGAACUCGUACUAUCCGUAUCCAAUGCUAGAAAUGAUGCUGAUCGUCUUCUGGACCUGGUUCUCGCUCAGGUACUCAGUUUACAUAUCUUGUCUAUAAUUUGGAAUCCCUUUUGACGGGUUUUUGUAUCUGCUGACGAAGUCUUUCUCCCACAGAGACUUCUGUCUGGACCAAGAGGCAAUUAAAAAGCUGGGUGGGCUUUGGCUGGUGCUUCCAUAUUAUUCUGAACACUGAUGCGACUGCGUUUAUUACUAUGCAUGCACUUCUAAUUUCUUUGCACUACUUCAACACUACUGAUUAGAACUAAAUUUACAUAUGAAGUGGUCAGGUUUCAUCGGCAGUUUAGUAGCUGUAGUAAAAACAUCAGCAAGAUAUAGUCCGGUAUGUUCCAACUUAGAUGUCUUGUCAGCAUGUGGAGAUGAUGCUUUAUAAGUCAACUAUUCUUCGCUUCAGCUCAUUUAUUAAUACUUUAUCUAACAUAUACCACUUUUAAAUAGCAUUUUGCUUAUGUUCUUGGGUGCUUUAGGAUUAUGUUUAAAUUCUGCCUCUUGAGAUUGGGGCACCCCAGCUUUUAUUGGCAUUAUGUUUACAUUCCUGGGUGUUUUAUGAUUUUGUUUUAAUUCUGCCUCUUGAGUUUGGGGCACCCCAGCUUUGUUACCGGACUCAACUGUAGAAGCGAUAAUUUGUCAGUCUGAAAGCAAAAGCGAAAUGAAAAGAAAAUUAAAAGAAAGAAGAGCAAGGGAAAGAUCUAAUUUUACAUAUAGUUACCUCUCUAAAGGGUUUACUUAGAAUAUAAAUGGAUGAAUGAUGUGUUUCAAUGAUAUUAACAUCAGUUGGUAGACUUUUCUUUUCUUAGGAAAGAGUGCCUGCUUUUAGUAAAUCUUUGGUUUAUUGGUCAUGAGCUUUUUCAUUCGAGUAUUCCUUACCUGUCGUGAAUGUUAUGCCUUGUAUAUGCAGGUCAUAUGAUGGUCAAUGUGGAUGUCUGAAUCUGUUUUUUCAAGAAGUUGCGUCCAAGAUGCAAGUAAACUCAAGGUAUUACUAAACAUUUUGUGUUUAUUUAGUGAAAGAGAAAGCACAAUUGUCAGUGAUUCAUCAAGUCAAAUUCACUCCUUUUGAGACUAAAAUUUGAUUGCUGUGGUAACAUUUGCAGGCAGAUCUAAAGGACUUCCUUCAGCCCUUCUGGUUAUCUGUUGUUCUAGAAAGAAUUGGUUUUACUCAGGGAGAUCUAACAUAAUACAAAUGAUAUAAGGGACUGAUUUCCACGCUCCUCUUUUCAGCAAACUUCACACUUGCACUCCCUUUCAAGCACAUAUAAUUUUGUAGCAUGUACAGACAAGGGCGUAGCUACAUGGAGAGCAGGAGGUUCAAUUGACCUCUCUCACCAUCUUGCCACAUCUAUCGUUAUUAGAUUUUUACUCAUAUAUACGAGUAUUAUAAACUCUUUGACUAAUUUUGCCCCUUCAAAUGUGAUAACAAAUAUACUUGUUUUUAGUUAGUUCAUGAGAUUAAAGCAAAAAAAGUGUUAAUUUGUUUGUAUUUAUUUUAUCUAAUAUUUUUAUCUAACAAACAUAUUUUUCCUACAUAGUUGACUCGUCUAAAUUAAGUUUGACCCCCUUUUAAUAUAAUUUCUGGCUACGCCACUAUGUACAGAUCGAAGGGUGGAAGUGGUGAAAGUUAAUGUAAAAAUAAACCCCAUGAAACCAGCUCGGGUCUAAAAAGUUAUGCAUUUGUGAAGGUGGUCUGUAUUUAUUUAUUGCCGAGCUUUCUCAUCUGGAAGCAAUCAAGAACUUGACACACGAGCUAAGGAAGUUGCAGAUUAUAAACUAGGAGCUUUCUCACUCUGUUGUUGGACAGAGUGAGAGCAAAGAAUCUGCCUCGUUGGGGUGAAAAAUGAGGGGAGUAGAUGCAGAUCAUGAGGAUUUCUGAGGUGAAAGAUCAUGAUUCUCAAAGCUAUGUGCUUUGUUGUGAAGCUGAACGUGAUUAGAAAUAAGUUGGAUUUGUUUUACAUAUGAACACUACUAUUUUAGAAUUUGUGUGGGUUCAUAAUUUUAAUCCAUGUUUGGCAUAUGCCCAUGAGAUAAGGACAUAACUUGGGUGACCUUGUUACCUUUAGGUGACAAGGGCCAAUAACAAUGCGCCACCUGACAUCUUUUAGGAAAGAAAAAAAACCGAAAAUUGUAAACAUUAAGAUUAAACAGAAACGAGACUCGUCAAUGGGAUUAAACGGAGAGAAGAAGGUGGCUAGCUCUUCUUUCCCAAAUUCCUCACAGACCCAAACCCUUGCUUUUGCAGAGACGAACUCUCCUUUCCCAAAUCCCACUUCUCUUGUGGAGACUCGAAGAUCUAAACCCUCGCAUUCGCCAAUCUGCUUUUCGUCCUCCUCCUCAUGUCUCUCUCUGAGUUUGACUCGAUCCUGACUCGGUCUUGACUCUUGAGUGACAUCGAAAGGUCUUGAGCUACAAGUUGAUGGGUAGGUAUGACUGAGCCAUUGUUAUCCUCCAUUGCCGAUUCUUUUUAUUUCUUUGGUUAAAAUAUCGAUUGUUGUAAUUUGGUUGAAGAUACUUGCUGUCAGUCUCGGUGUAUACAUUGAGCACAUGUGGCUUCCCCGUCCAUACUGAAUACUGAAAGCCAUUCUCUUUUAUGAGAGUUAAUUUCACUUUGUGAAAUGUUCACAGAAAACAUACAUUAAGGAAGGACUAAUAUCUGUCUUUGGAACCUUCUUCUGUUUCAUUUUUUUAGGUAUAUUUGUCCAUGUAAGAAUGGUAAUCAUUAGUCCCUUAUGAUAUGCAUAUAUAUUUAAAUUUGUUGUGUUGUUAUUCCCAAGCCUUUACAAGUUUAUAUAGCAGUAAUUGGGUUUAAGAUUUCGAAUAUCAAUGAAAUGAGACUAAGGUAAGGAACAAAAUCUUUGUGCUUCAGUUAAAUUGGACCAGUUUGUGUUUUUGAUUAUAUUUGGAGAAAUUACUGGUCACUCCAUUAACUUUCAUGCGUUCGACAGUUUACUCCAUUAACUUUCAAUUUCAAUUGAUCACUCCUCAAACUAUCCAAUGUCACACAAUUAGGUCCAUCCGUUAAGUGGCCGUCCAAAUCAGUGGUUAAGUUGCUAACUGGACAUAUUUUUCAACUGGAUGAAAUGAGAAAUUUCAUUUAACACCCCACCUCUCUCUCUCUCUCUCUCUCUCUCUCUCUCUCCACAACAACAAUACACACAUACGCAACCAACAUAUAACACAAAAUUGAAAUUAAGAUCCUGUUGUCAUCAGGAUAAAAUAGAAAACAGAUACCCAUACCUGCAAGAAUUCACUAAUGUAAUAAUAUUGCAAAGUUCUCAUUUUCUAUUAAUAUUAUGAGAAUAUUAUAAUCUAUUACUUGCAACAAACCCUAGAUAAUAUCUGCAUUGCUGGUUCUUUCCCGUAGACAAAGAAGAAUUCCAUGCUGUGGAUUGAGCAUGAGGGGACAAAAUCAAGAUCAUUCAGAGUAGAUGAUACAGAAGCACACAAAACAUAGGUUUAACAUCUAUCAAUACUUAAAUGCUUAGUUCUUUGUUUUCUUGUCUAAAAUAUCUCCAUAUAGAUAUAAACAAAACAACUAUCAGAUGAACAACUACAAACCUAACCAUAACCGAUUACCAGGUAAGGGUAAAAGACGAUGAAGAAAAGGGAUCGCCUUACCAUCACCUCAAGAGGCUGAGAUUUCCAUAAUCAAAUAGGUGACAGAAGCUCCGCUGCGAAGUUGAGUCAUAAGACAUGAGUCAUCCCUGAAGAAAACGAAGACAUGCAAUCUAUACAAAAUUACAUACCGAACUUGAAAACAUCGUUUCUCGAUCAAUCAAGCCAAAGAUGAGAUGAAGAUCAACGCCCAUAUACCCAAUUCAACAAAUUCCCCACUAGAUCUCAAACGGAAACAAACCCAGUAAAGGAUUCAACUUGUUGAAGAUGAGAGAUGCAAGAAGUAGACCCAAACAGACAGAAGAGUGAAAGACUGAAGCUUUACUCACUGGAGCUUUACUCAUUACUACAAACAAAAUAAAGGUAAUCAAUUAACCAAUCCCUCGCUGGAGCUUUACUCAUUACUACAAACAAAAUAAGUAAGAACAUGCAAUGUAGGCUAGUAAGGCAAUUUAACAAACACCUGGUGUGCAUAAAAUCAAUCCCACCACCAUCUCAAGAUGAAAUACCCAAUUUCGUCUUCGACUCCUUCAAAGAUAAUCCCCAAACCAAACACACGAAUCCCGCAUCCCUAUGAACACAACCCAGCAAAAGCAAUUAUAAAAAAAAAUUCUAUAUUUGAAUUGUAGAUCCCCAACCUAAUCCAAACAAACACUAAAUCAAUUUACAGUGAAUCAAAGAGCUUACCAACAGAGAUAACAUCAAAGCCUAAAUUAAUGUAGGAGUUCGCAAUGAGGUUCGUCUUUUGUCAAACCCUAAUUAUGUGGUCGUUCGGUGAUCGAGGGUGAGAGAUCAGAAUGGGUUCUUCGUGAGGUAUUGGGAUGAAGUUGGGGUUUUCAGAUCGAGUUUAGUGUGUUUGUGUUUGACAUGGGGUUGAGAGAGUAGUCGAGAGAAUGAAAUUAGACUCAGAUGUAUCGGGGGGAGAGAGAGAGAGAGAGAGAGAGAGAGAGAGAGAGAGAGAGUAGAGAGNGNAGUAGNGANGUANAGNNGAGAGNNGANAGNGUNANAGNGANAGUAGNAAGNGANCGAGAGNGAUAGANAGNGUGNAGAGACGAGAGAGUAGAGAGUANAGUAGUAGUACGUAGUACGUACGGUACGUACGUACGUAGUUACGUACGUUACGUACGUAGUAGUAGUAGUAGUAGUAGACGAGUACGUACGAGUUAGGUUGUAGUGUAGNGUAGAUAGGNUNANGAGAGAGNGNANGAGAGAGAGAGAGAGAAUGAAAGUUGAAGGUGAGUGAAUUGGUUUUUUAAUGUCAAAAAUCUCUUAUUGUACACUGGAGAGACAACAGUUUUCUGUCAUUUUAAAACAAGUCUUUUUAUUACUUAAUUUCUCUUGUUUUUAGGACGACAGAUGAUUGUCGUCUCAUGCACACGCUAAUUUUACUUGUUUGCACGUUGUUACAUUAAGACGACAGAUUUUUAAAUAUCUAUCGUUAAAAUUUAUUAUACGACAGUAAAAACGACUUCUGUCAUCUGAUCUCUGUCGUAUGAUUGCAAAAUUGGCGUAGUGAAAAGUCAUAAUCAUGUUUUGGUUGCUGCUCCUAUGAAGUAUAUGUUGAAGGUCAAUAGAAGUAUAUCAAAGGCACAAAAGGCAAAUGCAGAUGAUGCUGAAUAUUCUGGGUUCUCCCUGAAAUCCACUGUGGAUCUGAUGAAUAGAGAAGUAGGAGGGCCAGAGAAUCUUGGAUUUACAAAGAAGGAUUACAUGAAUUACAUAUAUAGAAAGCAAAUGUCUAAAAUGGAAAAAGGAGAUGCAUGUGCUAUAUUGCAGUACUUUCAAAAGAUGCAAUCUGAGAAUUCGUUAUAUUUUUAUUCAAUUCAACUUGACAAGGAUGACAUAAUCACAAACAUAUUUUGGGCAGAUGCUCGAUCGAUAAGUGAUUAUGGUCAAUUUGGAGAUGUGGUUUGUUUUGAUACGACGUACCGAACAAAUGAAUAUGGCCGACCCUUUGCACCGUUUUUUGGGGUUAAUCAUCAUAAGCAAACAACAUUGUUAUUACCAAAAAAAAAAGCAAACAACAUUGUUGGGCGUAGCUUUGUUAUAUGAUGAGACAAUUGAAUCUUUCAAGUGGUUAUUUGAGACUUUCCUCUCUGCUAUGUUUGGUAAGCAACCAUUGACCAUUCUUACUGAUUAGUCUGUUGCCAUGGCUAGAGCAAUACAAGAUAUUCUUCCACAAGCUACUCAUCGGUUAUGUGUUUGGCAUCUUUAUCAGAAUGCUGCUAAGAAUCUGAAUCAUGUCUUUCAUGGAUCCUCAGAAUUUGCUGCUGAUUUUGGUAAUUGUAUAUAUGACUAUGAGUUUGAGCAUGAAUGACUAUUAGCAUGAAAUUCUAUGCUUGAGAAAUAUAGCCUCAAAGAAAACAAGUGGUUGAAUGCUUUAUUUGAAUGGCGAGAGAAGUGGGCAAUGGUGUAUGAGAGACAUACUUUCACCGCUGAUAUGAAAAGAACACAGCAUAGUGAGUCCAUAAAUAAUGUGCUUAAGAAUUAUUUGAUGCCAGAGCAUAAUCUUUUGCGGUUUUUAGAACAUUAUGAAAGAGUUUCGGCUGAUCGAAAAUAUCAAGAGUUGAGGGAAUAGUUCAUUCUAAUGCUUGUGAAACAUUAAUUGUGCGGAGAGUUAAAAGAAAACCUGCAGUUGUCCGCCUACAUACCAGAUUCAAAGACCCGACGAGUAAUGUACCAAACAAAAGUACAAGAGUUCCCACAAGAAGAGAUCGAGUCGAACUCAGAGAGAGACAUGAGGAGGAGGACGAGAAGCAGAUCGGCGAACGCGAGGGUUUGGAUCUUCAAGUCUCCACGAGAGAAGUGAGAUUUGGGAAAGCAGAGUUCGUCUCCGCAAAAGCAAGGGUUUGGGUCUGUAAGGAAUUUGGCAAAGAAGAGCUAGUCACCUUCUUCUCUCCGUUUAAUCCCAUUGACGAGUUUGGUUUCCGUUUAAUCUCAAUGUUUACAAUUUUCGGUUUUUUUUUCUUUCUAAAAGAUGUCAGGUGGCGCAUUGUAAUUGGCCAUUGUCACCUAAAGGUAUCAAGGCCUGGUCACCCAAGUUUUGUCCAUGAGAUAAUAGCAGUGUUUUUCUGUUGUGGUUUUUGUAGUAAUUUUUGGAUUUUCAAAAAAGAAUAAAAACACCCUAAAGAUGGUUAAAGGCAUUAAACUAUCCAUGUUUUCAUAUUCCAAUUUUCUUUUUUUGGCUUUUUAUACUUUUAGGAACGUAGAGAAAAAAUUUAUUGUCACUUUUUCCUUACUAAUAAUGAGUUCUUCAUCUCAAUCAUCCUUAAAUGUCAACGACAACAACAAAAUUCUUGAGUGUGAGCGGAAACAAUAAGGAUUGAACUUCUGUAUGUUUCCUCUCUUCAAUCUUCUUCAAGUUUAUAAAGGCCAACCCAAAUCAUCAAAUUCCAAAACUUCUUUUAAUAUUUUUGAAAUAUGAAAACAAUUAAAAAAACUAAGAAAAAAAGAGAACUUAAGGGUAAAUUGGUCAUGUUAAUGGCUAUAUAUAUAUAUCAAUCUUAGGUCGGGAUGGAAACAUGAGAUACCGUUAUGAUAUUUUCAAAGCUUGAUAUACCAAAGUUUAUAAGGAGCAAAAGUUCAUAUACCAUUCAGACGAAUUUCUUGUAAUUUUAUAAAAUUAUUGUAUGGUGAAACUAUUUCCUAUCUACAAAGUUACUCUUUACUGUUUUGUGUAAAUUGAAAUGGUAUAACUAAAAUGUAAUUACUGCUUCAGUUACUUACUAUUUUAGAACAACACAAUUAAUUACUUAUUAUUUAUGGGAAUCAAAUCAAAUAUAUAUGAUUAAAUGUGUUAAUCAUGUAUAUUAUUGUUUUCUGCACGUGAUUGACCACCUAUAUAUGUCGCAAUAAUCAAAAUGUCAAUUGCGAGAACAACCGCUUCACAAACAGUUUAUUUGGCAAACUAACAUGUAUGAUUUACAUUACAGUCGUUAAAUUUUGUUCAUAAUAUUACGCAUGUUACAUGUGGAAAUUAUUUUUGAGAAUAUUGUCACAUGUUAUAAUGUUAUAUGUUAUGCCUAUUUAAUUUUAUUAAAUGAUUGUUUCAUUAAGAUGACAUAUAAAUUCUGCUGCUAUGGAAAAGAAAAUUCAUAACAUCGAAAUGACAAAUCUCGUUGAAACAUUUUUCACAAAGCAUUGGAAAAUGUGACCACUAUGAAUUUUGGGCUUCAGAUCUAAUUCAUAUCUCUUGGAAAAUGAUUAACAUGAAUGUCUUCAUGACUGAGUAAAAAGAAAAUGAUGAUGAAACUUCAUAUGCUUAUAAAGCAAAGAAAAUGAUUAAACCGAAAAUUUUAUUAUGAUCACGAAAAUUCACAAUCAAAAUGACAAUUCUGCAUCUUGAAAAUUCACAACGACAAUGUAAGGUCUGCUAAGAUAAAGACAUUUACUAUAAUAAAUAUGCUCAGCAAAACAACCUCAAACAACUCAAAGUAAAAGGCAAUUACCGUAUGUAUGAGGGUCUAGGAGACGUGACAUGUGCAGUGAUGUACAUAGCCAUUUUUGUGAAUAAACAAAAUUUCUAUAUAAACAUUGCAAGCCAACAAACAAAUUAGCUGCGACUUACAAGAGGUUGUAGAUAAUCAUGGAAGCAAGAGGAAUUGAAAAAGUAUAUUCCAACACCAGGAUUGAAAAAGGAUUAUCAAUCCCUAGAAGCUUACCAUAUGAAAGAUGGAGAUGACGCGGAUGUCAAUCUAAGAAAGUUUCAGACUUUGGUUUAUCUGCUAUUAGUUUUCCAAGAUAUUCUCGUUUAAUGAGACUAUUGUUUUUGUCUUAAAGUAUGUGGAUAAUGCCUAAUGAAUUAGAUGAGACCUUGAUUUGAUUAUCGUUGGCCUAUUAAAUUCCACAUUAUAUUCAAAAGUAUAUAAUUUAUUCGAUUUUCUUUUACUGCAAAUAUAUGGUUAGAAAUAGCACUAUAAAAAUACAAAGUAAUGCAUCCGACAAAAAAAAACGUUAUUAGAAUGAAAAGCAUAUAUAUCAUUCUAUCUAAAUUGAAAUACUCUACAGAACAUAAACGUAUCAAUCUACCUCAUCUUUCCAAUUAUAGAUACUCCCAUCUACUUUAAGAAAUUUAUGGAGUAGGACUACCACACUCCUUUAAGGAAUAAGGUAGACAAUUAUUUAUGCCUCAUAAUUUAACUAUGAUGACUUGAACGUUACAACAAUGUCAGAUUUCUGUUGCCUAACGACAUAAAAUUUAAAGUCACAGAAGCUCUAUGUGCACCACGUGCUAAUCGAACAAUGUUAAAGUUUUGAUAUUCGGCCAACGAUUAUCAUAAGAAAACCAACUGUGAGAAUGAAAGUUAUCUCAAAUAUAUGUGUAAGGGAACACAUUUAAAAAAAAAACAAACAAAGUCUCCUACAAUGAAAUGUGGGAUGCCGACUUACAUAGGCUUUGGAAUGACCAACCUAGAACAUUCUAGUCAUAACAUGAUGAUAUGUAUUUCAAAUAACUCACACAUACAUCAUUUAUUUUGUGUGUAAUAAAAGGGGAUAAAAGCCUGUCACACUGCAAGGAAUUCACUCAACGCGAAUGUAUUGAUUAUAAUGGUACUUUUACGCUUGUUGCGAAAUUGACCACUAUUCGUAUUCAAUCUCUUCCUCGAAGAUUUAAAACUUCAGAUUUCCUUAAACCUCGAUUCGUAGCUGUGGAUAAGCCUCAAUCCAAAUUAAACUGUACCGGUGCCAACAUAAGAGAGAGAGAGACUCAUGGUCAAAGUUAUUGGUCGGGGUAAUUAUAACCGGUCCGAAGUCAACGUGAGAGAGACUUAGGGUCAAGGUUGGGGUAGUUUGGGUACGAUUUGACACACAAGCUUUUAAGUUGAAUUACAAUGACUGUUUUCACCGAAAGUUAAAUGAGAAUUUACUAAUGUGUCCUUUGAACUCAAAUUGUGUGGACCAUAUAAUGACACGUGGCUGCGCGCAUUGAUCACUUCUAAUAGAAGUACAAAGCUGACAUUUCACAUUCUAGCCCUUUAUCCCAUAAGUGCCCUAUAAGUUGCCACCGUCGAUAUUUGCGAAUGAAAUCUGGAAAGACAAAGCUCACCUCUUGGUUCAGAUUCAAAAUACAUAAAUCACUCAUAAGUGUCAACCUAAUGGUUUAGAUUCAAAGUACAGAAAUCACUAAUAAGUGUCAUAAGACAAAUGAUUCAUAUUCAAAAUAAAGAAAUCACUGAUAAAACUGUCCUAGACUUCAAUUUUGUAAGCCCUUGCUUCAAUAUUCAGCACCCCAGCAUAUUUUGUUCUUUCAAUAUUUGAGUUUCUUUCUUAUCUUCAGGCAGUUGAAUCCUACCAAAUCCUUUUUCUCCCCACUUUUCCCCCCAACUGUUGCGGAUGCUCAAAUAAUACGGCUUUGCAGUUGCAUUGUAACCACUUAUAACAACUGCAUGUUCAUCCAUGCCAUUUAUUUUGCAUUUUUCAUAGUGCAAUGGACAUAUAAACAUUUUUUGUAGUGCAAAUAUCUGAGUUUAUAUUUGAUAUAAACAUAUAAGCAACAACAACAUAGACUGAAGCAGAAAACAAAUAUUACAACAACAAAUUACUUUCUCCACAACGUGGGCAGUUAUAUCUUUUGCUUCCCUUAUAUUCAGUAAAAACAUCGUCCACUAAAAGUAUCCCUCUUUUGUAUUCAUUCAGCUCUGGUAUAAAUUUGAACUCCCCCACGUGAGGCUGCUCUGAACUACUUUUCAGGAUAUUGUGUCUACCAUGAAUCAUUUCAUAGUCCUUAUUCUUUAUGAUUCUUUGUUCAAUUACCUAAAAUGAAGUUGUUAGAUUAUGAAAGUAUAAUAUCUAGCUAAGAUGUUAGAAUUAGAGGUUCAGACUUGUUAGCCCGUGAUCUCUUGCCUGCUUUAAUUAGUGCAGUUUGUAGUUCAUACUUAUCUUCGUCUUUGUUUAGGUUCUUUGUGGCAUUUUUGUGGAACUUGUCUAUGUCGAUUAGAACUGUCUUGCCAAACACUCUUAGAAACUCUGCCUCGAUGAGACCCUUAGCCGCUCAGAAUACACAUCUCUAAAACAUAUCUCUACUAUUAGAAAGCCACACACCCUCUUUGGUGUCAUGGUGAAGCCUUUUUAAAACAACUCAUAUACCCAUGAUAGAGGACUUUGACAUAGAAAAAAAAAUACAAGAAUGGUUAAAUACCGUAAAAUAAAGUAAUUUACAAAAAUAAUAAAAAGACAAAAAACAAAAAAAAAACCAAAAUAAAGGAGAAAAACGUAGAAUGCCAACUGCAAUAGCAAUUUUUUGCAAUUAAAAUCUGAAAGUAAAAACUUAAUCUUUUUUUAUAAAACAAAAAGAUAAAAGCAAAUUGACACACGCGUUAAGAGGCUAGUAAUAUAUAAAAGAAUUAAAUUCAGUUUACCCUCAUAGGUUUGGGAGUAACUUCAUGUUAAUCUCUAUACUUUCAAUUUCAUCAGUUUAUCCCUCAAACUUUUGAAUUUUCCUCAAGCGUGACCAAAUGUCCUAUAUUCUGUCCAAAUCGGAUGUUAACUGCUGAUAAUUUUAACCUUAACUGUGAGGCCAGUAUCUAGAAUUUGGGCAAAUCGGACCUUAUAUGUCCAAAUCGGACCUUAACUGCUGAUAAUUAAAGGUCAAAUCAAACGGAAUACGAGAAUUUGGGCACGGCAGAUAGAAAUUGAAGAGUUCAAGGGGUAAACUGAUGAAAAUAAAAGUGUAGGGACUAACAUGAAGUCACCCCCAAACCACAAGGGGAUAAACUGAAUUUAAUUCUAUAUAAAAUAAAGUUUUGUAAGUAAUUAAAGUAUGAUAAAAGUAAGUGUACUAACAUCAUCUUCUUUAUACUGUUUGGAAACUGGAUGCACAAAGUCUUCAGUGCCAUGAUAUUCAGUGUAUGCAUAGUUUGAAUAUCAUAGCACUGAAGUUAUUUUCUUAAAGUAAUCUUCCCACACUUCAUCGCUAGCAGUUAUUUUCUUUAUGAUGGGAUCUCACCCAAAACCGGAGCUAUGAUGCAUAAGCUCAGUAUACAUAGUGUACUGUUGUUUAAACCAUAUCAAUUUAUGUGUGUAAUGCUUAUAAGUUUUCUCACACCCUAGUUUUUUUUAUUAAAAAGUGGAAGGAUUUUGUUCAACACUGUUUUUUAUCUAUGCACUAGGCCAUAUAAAUUAUCAGACGACACUUUUCAGACGACAUAUUUUGGACGAUUUUGAGUUUGUGUCGUCUGAUUAAUUUUUCGACCCUUCAGACGACAUUUGUGAAGUAUAAGUCGUAUGAGUGCCAUGCUCCCUUCAUACUUCUGGAUGUUGCUCAAUUUGUCUGUGAUAUGCAAAAUUUCAGACGACAUAUAUAUGCAGUGUAAAAAAGCAACAUUUAGCAACUUUAUAGUAAUACGUCGGACAACAUAUAAAAGUUGUCUGUGAAAGAAUGUGAAAUCUACUUUUAAUCCCCUUUUUAUGUACUUCAUCCAACAACAUAUUAAUGUCGUCUGAAACAACCAUAAAUCUUUGAUUUAUACCUUCAUUUUGAACCCUUAAAUUCACUUAUUCAGACGACAAACAAAUGACGUAUAAUAAACCCAUAAAAUUGAGUGUACGAAUCUUGUAAUGUAUAACUUCAGACGACAUAUGAAAGUGGUCUCUCUGACCCUAAAAUACUCAAUUUAUAAUUAAAUAUUGAGUUUGGUUACCUUUUAUUGUAUUUAAUAAGAUGACAUAUAAAUGUCGUCUGAGGGAACCUGAUAUAUAAGUUUGAAAAAAGGCUCAACCUAUUAAUCUAUUCAUUAGACGAGGUUAAUAUGUUGUCUGUAUGAACUUGAAAUAUUCAAUUCAUUUGAGUUUGGGCCAACCUUAAUGUAUUCAUCGCACAACAUAAAAAUGUCGUCUGGACCUGAAAUAUUUGAAUUUGGGUGCCGGAAUUUUCCCUCGCUUUUCUUCAAUGUGAGACGGCGAUUAUAUGUCGUCUAAGGUUGUAAAUAAGUGGUCAACAUAAAUUGUGCAUAUUUUCCAAAUGGAAACGCUCUUAUCUCCUCCGACCAAAACUUAUAUUUUUGAUUAGCCGGUACUCAAACUCUUGUUAAGAGCAGGAAAACAUAUAUAUGUAAUAGUUUGGACACUUUGAUGAAACGAUUAUGUACUUCUCCUUGUGGAAGCUAUAAGAAAGUUUAUGUAUAUAUGAAGUUGACUCUAAUGAUCGAGACCUAUAAGUUAUCGAAAAUGGAUAAAUUUUCUUCCACAUACAUAUUUAAGUACUGCGAUCAUAUCAAACGGUCAGAUUAGGUAAAUUUUGUUUCUUGCAUAUAGUUGUCUUAUAAGAUGCAUGUUUACUAAAGAACUUAGUAAACAUGUUAUAGCACAUUAGUACGCACGUUGUGAUUCAAACGAACGGUAAAUAAUUUUUUUUAAGUUUUAGAGUGUCAGAUNUCAACAUAAUAGUGAAUUAUGGGUGUAGAACAAAAUUCAAGCAUUUUCGAUAAAGUUCGGAUCUCGGUCGAUGCGGUUAACGUGAAUGGAAUCUUUCUUAGUAAUUUCAGACGACAUAUAUAUGUUGUCUGAAAAAUACUUUUAAAAGUCAACACUUUUAUCUAAACGAAAACCCUCUUAUUUAGACCGACUAAUACUUAAAGUUGAGAUUCGUCAAUUCUAGCUUAUACCCUCAUUUAGUGUCAACGAAACUAUUUCAAGUUGACGCCUCAGAAGACCAAAAAGGUUGACUUUUUGUCCUGUUGCCUUUUUGAACGUUGUGGAGUACGAAUGUUUAAAUCAAGUUUUUAUGAACGUUGUGGAGUACGAACGUAUAAAUCAAGUUUUUAGUGUUACGAAGAAACGAGUGUAAAUUAAAGUCGAGCUUGAAAUAGAGAGAAAUUUCUAGACAAGUCUUGAAACUUAGUCGUGGGGGUAAUUUUGUUUCACACGUAUAAGUAUACAAAGGAUGUAAAAAACCCUAGCACUCCAAAACUCUCCCUCUCCCUCCCAGCCGCAUCCCUCUUUUCUAUCUCUCUCCCUCUCUCGAACUCUCUCGAUCUCUCUCUCUGUGCUUUCCUCUGCCAGCGUCGGAAAUGGUAGCUCCGGCCACCGUCUCACCCAAUCACCUCCACCAAUCGAUUCACCGCUUAAACUAAGCCAUACCCAACCCAAAUCAACAACCUGCAACUACCCCAAUGUCGGUUCUCAAUCCCUAGACAUCCACUUUUGGCGGAGAUCGAUGGAGGAGGAUGGUGACUGUCCUUCUCUGUUUUUCGGCGAGGGCUUGGGCUCCGGUCACCGAUCCACCUAGUGACGGUGAGACCCUUCCUCCUCUCUUCCUUCUGCACAGUCUAGUGCUUUAUUUCCUUCAAUUGAGACCUAACUCAGAAAUCCCCUUUUGUGUUUCUAGGUUUCUUGAGCUUCUUUUCCGGCGAUUGUGUUCUUCGUGUUCUGGUGGCGACCACGAGCUCCGACGAGUGUAGUUCAUCCUUGGCGAAGCCGGGACUUAGAGUUGGGAAGCUUUGAGGCAGCUGCUGUUAUGCAGCAUCGUGGCAGAGGGACUGCUUAUUGAUUUCAAGCAAGGAGAGGUUGCUGGGUUUGAGUGGUGUUCAGAUUGGAGGUAAGGAGUUUGAUUUGGUCGGCUGUGUUGUUGUUUGUGUUGCGGUUAUUUAGUUGGAUUGUGACUGAAAUCAUUGUUGUGGUUGAUACUUGUCGAUAACUUGGUGAUAGGAGUUUAUGGGGAGGCUAUGGCGAAAUUUCGGCAAGUCACUGGAAUCCGACGAGUAUUCGGGAUUCCGGCGAGGCAACAAUUCCGACAGAAUCCGUAAAGUUAAACAUUUGUGGUCUCAAGACAAGUCCAACGACAAGUAAUUGUCGUUGAACUCUAGAUGAUAUAGCGCCUAGUAGUUUGACAAUAUGAGACGACAUAUAGUUGUCAUUAGAAGUCUCAUGGUACAACAUAUCUUUGUUUUAUUUGUCGUUGAACGUUAUAUCAGUCGACACUUAUCUAUAGUAUGAAUAAAUAUAAGAGGACGUAAACAUCAUUAAUUUCUUCCUUAUUCUGGCUUCAGUCGACAUUUAUAUGUUGUAUGUAAUCCAUUAACACGACAUAUUUUUCUGAAACCUUCCAGAUUCAGCUUCUUCCAGACGAUAUAAGAUAUGUCGUCUGAACAGAUAUCAGACGACGGUGGAAAACUGUUAUCUGAGGUCAAUCACACGACACAGCCUCAGAUGACAUAAAAAAAACUGUUAGACGACAGACCUGGACUGUCGUCUGAUGAAUAUUUUGACAUAGUGAUGGUACCACUUUGAGGAUCACGCCAACCAUGUUGGUAGCAUCAACCAAGACUUGCAGCAACUCAUUGCUCUCUUCAUUAGUCC
RNAcentral lists this long non-coding RNA (23103 nucleotides) under Fragaria vesca (wild strawberry). RNAcentral's name for it is "long non-coding RNA (FVES_LNC003189)". Lineage: Eukaryota; Viridiplantae; Streptophyta; Magnoliopsida; Rosales; Rosaceae. The record is from RNAcentral.